GUGCCAGCCGCCGCGGUAAUACCGGCAGCCCAAGUGAUGGCCGAUCUUAUUGGGCCUAAAGCGUCCGUAGCUGGCUGCGCAAGUCCGUCGGGAAAUCCAUCAGCCCAACUGAUGGGCGUCCGGCGGAAACUGCACGGCUUGGGACCGGAAGGCUCGAGAGGUACGUCCGGGGUAGGAGUGAAAUCCCGUAAUCCUGGACGGACCGCCGAUGGCGAAAGCACGUCGCGAGGACGGAUCCGACAGUGAGGGACGAAAGCCAGGGUCUCGAACCGGAUUAGAAACCCUAGUAGUCC
This 293-nucleotide ribosomal RNA is filed under the name uncultured bacterium. Its description in RNAcentral is "partial 16S ribosomal RNA". It matches the Rfam family "Archaeal small subunit ribosomal RNA", at positions 455 to 747 of the family's 1478-position model. The record is from RNAcentral.